Molecule: ribosomal RNA, 392 nt
Filed under: uncultured bacterium
Lineage: Bacteria
Description: bacterial SSU rRNA
Rfam family: Bacterial small subunit ribosomal RNA
Source: RNAcentral
GACGAACGCUGGCGGCGUGCCUAACACAUGCAAGUCGAACGGAAGUUAGAGCUUCGGUUUUAACUUUAGUGGCGAACGGGUGAGUAACGCGUGAAGAACCUGCCUUUCAGUGGGGGACAACAGUUGGAAACGACUGCUAAUACCGCAUGAAACUUCGAGAGGGCAUCCUCUUGAAGUCAAAGCUUUAUGUGCUGAAAGAUGGCUUCGCGUCUGAUUAGCUAGUUGGUGGGGUAACGGCCCACCAAGGCGACGAUCAGUAGCCGGUCUGAGAGGAUGAACGGCCACAUUGGGACUGAGAUACGGCCCAGACUCCUACGGGUAGGCAGCAGUGGGGAAUAUUGGGCAAUGGGGGAAACCCUGACCCAGCAACGCCGCGUGAAGGAAGAAGGCCU